UUGGAGGCAAGUCUGGUGCCAGCAGCCGCGGUAAUUCCAGCUCCAAUAGCGUAUAUUAAAGUUGUUGAGGUUAAAAAAGCUCGUAGUUGAACCUUGGGCCUAGCCGGCCGGUCCGCCUCACCGCGUGCACUGGCUCGGCUGGGUCUUUCCUUCUGGAGAACCGCAUGCCCUUCACUGGGUGUGCCGGGGAACCAGGACUUUUACUCUGAACAAAUUAGAUCGCUUAAAGAAGGCCUAUGCUCGAAUACAUUAGCAUGGAAUAAUAGAAUA
RNAcentral lists this ribosomal RNA (270 nucleotides) under uncultured Ascomycota. RNAcentral describes it as "partial 18S ribosomal RNA". It matches the Rfam family "Eukaryotic small subunit ribosomal RNA", at positions 548 to 824 of the family's 1831-position model. The record is from RNAcentral. Lineage: Eukaryota; Fungi; Ascomycota.